Molecule: long non-coding RNA, 2155 nt
Organism: Gallus gallus (chicken)
Lineage: Eukaryota; Metazoa; Chordata; Aves; Galliformes; Phasianidae
Source: Ensembl
GUCUCAGCCAAGGACAGGGCUCUGUGCCAACGUCACAACCAUAUUUGUGCCAAAUGAGACCAGAGGAGGGAUGGUCUGAAGAGGGACGGGUGGCAAAGGAGGAGUCCCGAGAGGUCCAACCCUUCAAGAGGAGGGAGAAAUAUCAAGUGACAAACAGAGAAGCAAAGAGCUGAAGAGGCGGGUGAUGAAUUUGGGUGAAAACCACAGCAACCAUCGCUCUCUGCAUGUCAGACACUCUCAAGAAUCCCUCUGUGUGGCAGCACGAGGCUCCAUUUUUCCCAGCUCUGAAGUGAAGCAGACAAGGCAGGGAUAACCCUUCAGUCCUGCUCUGCACUUCAACACAAAGAGCGUCAGUGCAGGCAAGUUGGUGCUUAACAGGGCUGAUACGUAGGUGCAACGUCUAAGGAUAUUUUUUUUUCCUGUAGGUUUCUUUCCACAGAAGGAAUGCUAUUGAUUUUUCUUCUGCUGAUCUAAUCUGUCUGGAUUUCCCCUCCGUCAGCUGUGCUCCUGCGUCAUUUGUAGCUCAGCAGAGGCAGUGACGACAAGUGAUGCUGACCCAACUCCAGCUCCAAAACGAACCCAACCCUCGCAGAGCCCUCAGUCUCCCUUUGCAGAGCGAAGCUCUCUGCCUCUUCUGCUGUCAAGUGGGAUUAGAAAAAAAUAUCUUUUUUUUUUUUUCUCCUCUGCGGCCUGUCUGGCUUCAUAAAUCAUUCAUGUAAUUCCUGGCUUCUUCAAGAUGAAGUGGGUUCAGUUUAAAGCCAUUAUUAUUCUCUGUGGGACAGAUCUUCACUAGAUGAAAGAAUGGUUCUUGUUGGCUUUACGCACAGAUUUUGAGGCUGAAAUGGAUAAUUGUGUUUGUGUAAUUGGGCUCCCAAAAGAAUUCAGGCCAUAGAGUUUGGCUGAAUUAAUUUGCACCUUGAGCACACAGGUUUCAGAAUGGAAGACGCUAUGAACUGCAUCAAAUCUUCCCUGGUUGUCCAUGGCCAGGAGCAGCAUCACAGCAGGCACAGUGUGCUCCAACCCUUGGUAGCUGCUGGCCCAUCCACGGGCUCCCCGACUUCUGUUGGUUGUCAGAGGAUCCCAGUGAACCUCAUUCACACCAGCUACCAUCCCCCGUUCCAACUCCUCCAGGCUGUCCCAUCCAUCUGAGAUCAAGGUGACGUCCCUGUCCCUCAACUUGGAUCACACUGGGUAUGAUUUGGUGGUGGGACCAAACAGAGGACACAGUGCUCUUUCUCCAGAAGCGAUGCUCAGCAUGGUGCACUCAUCAUCCAUGCCCGAGCCCUUGACCCUCAUGCACCUUCUUGCUUCUCAUUAGUUGUGCGUAAAACAUUAAUUUUGUACAAAAGAGAGAAGGAAAGAAGAUCCCAUUUAUUCGGCCAGCCCUUCUCUGUUCUCAUUGCCCCUUAGAGCAAUCAGAAAUGUCCAACAGGACCCAACCAUGAGUGCUGAAACUAAAACCCAUCUGCAGAUCACCAAAGGUGGACAACCACUUCCCCCUUGGCAUUUUUAGGCCAUCACAUCACACCAUCCGCAGGAAUAGCCAGCUAUUCCUUCCAGCUAAUGGCCAGCUAUAGCCAGCCUUCACAACCAGGGUGAUAUUUCUGUAGAAAAUAACUCUAAAUACAAUAAAACACAAAAUGAGAAUGAGAGCUGCUGUGGGCUUACUUGGAGGGCAUUUCUGUUUCUCUCCGCAUCUUUCCAGCCAAAUUUCUUCUUCUUCCACACAUCCAUCCUUCUAGGAAAGCUGUUCUUUUAGGGAUGAUCAUUGACUUUAGAGCUGUACACGAAUAAGACUCCAUGGAAGAAACCCAGUGUCCUGUUGCAGGAAUGUGGACCCAUGUGCAGAGGGGUAACUGCAGACAGGCAGAUGUCCUUCUGAGCACCCAAGGACAGGAGCCUCUGUAGCACAGGGGUUUCAGGAGAUCACUCAGAGCCAGUAUUGCAAGUCUGGAGUAUGUGUGAAAAUGGGAGAGAUUGCAGACAGCAAGUGGCAGACGAGCUGCAGCCUCCGUCCUGCCCAUUGCUGUGGGUCUGCAGGAUGGGGCUGUCCUCAGCAGCAUGUCUUCUGGAGUUGUGCCUACUGGAAAAUGCAAGCUCCCCGUGCUGGGACUCUCCUCCUUUUCUUGGUGAGCUGUUAGAAAGCACAUCUUCC